Molecule: small nuclear RNA, 316 nt
Filed under: Castor canadensis (American beaver)
Lineage: Eukaryota; Metazoa; Chordata; Mammalia; Rodentia; Castoridae
Description: 7SK RNA (ENSCCNG00000030363.1)
Rfam family: 7SK RNA
About the family: 7SK was discovered as an abundant small nuclear RNA in the mid-70s but a possible function has only recently been suggested. Two independent studies have found that 7SK RNA binds the CDK9/cyclin T complex (known as elongation factor P-TEFb). P-TEFb activates transcription by phosphorylating the C-terminal domain of RNA polymerase II.
Source: Rfam by way of RNAcentral
GGAUGUGAGGGUGAUCUGGCUGCGACAUCUGUCACCCCAUUGAUCGCCAGGGUUGAUUCGGCUGAUCUGGCUGGCUAGGCGGGUGUCCCCUUCCUCCCUCACCGCUCCAUGUGCGUCCCUCCCGAAGCUGCGCGCUCGGUCGAAGAGGACGACCAUCCCCGAUAGAGGAGGACCGUUCUUCGGUCAAGGGUAUACGAGUAGCUGCGCUCCCCUGCUAGAACCUCCAAACAAGCUCUCAAGGUAGUUAAAAAUACAAACCCCUCCAGGCUGAGGUAAAAAUGCCCCAACCACCAGGUACAUUGGCAUUUGCCUAUGU